ACGGAAGUAGCUCAGUCGGUAGAGCAUCGGUCUCCAAAACCGAGGGUCGUGAGUUCGAGCCUUACCUUCCGUGCCA
RNAcentral lists this transfer RNA (76 nucleotides) under Tannerella sp. Its description in RNAcentral is "tRNA-Trp". It matches the Rfam family "tRNA". Rfam says of the family: Transfer RNA (tRNA) molecules are approximately 80 nucleotides in length. Their secondary structure includes four short double-helical elements and three loops (D, anti-codon, and T loops). Further hydrogen bonds mediate the characteristic L-shaped molecular structure. tRNAs have two regions of fundamental functional importance: the anti-codon, which is responsible for specific mRNA codon recognition, and the 3' end, to which the tRNAs corresponding amino acid is attached (by aminoacyl-tRNA synthetases). tRNAs cope with the degeneracy of the genetic code in two manners: having more than one tRNA (with a specific anti-codon) for a particular amino acid; and 'wobble' base-pairing, i.e. permitting non-standard base-pairing at the 3rd anti-codon position. Lineage: Bacteria; Pseudomonadati; Bacteroidota; Bacteroidia; Bacteroidales; Tannerellaceae. The record is from RNAcentral.